GGGGUUGUGGCUCAGCUGUAGAGCGCUCGUCUAUCAUGUGCGAGGUCCUGGGUUCGAUCCUCAGCACCACA
RNAcentral lists this transfer RNA (71 nucleotides) under Marmota monax (woodchuck). Its description in RNAcentral is "tRNA.Asp". Lineage: Eukaryota; Metazoa; Chordata; Mammalia; Rodentia; Sciuridae. The record is from RNAcentral.